This 460-nucleotide ribosomal RNA is filed under the name uncultured bacterium. Its description in RNAcentral is "partial 16S ribosomal RNA". It matches the Rfam family "Bacterial small subunit ribosomal RNA", at positions 338 to 795 of the family's 1533-position model. The record is from RNAcentral.
CCUACGGGUGGCAGCAGUGAGGAAUAUUGGUCAAUGGGCGAGAGCCUGAACCAGCCAAGUCGCGUGAAGGAUGACGGCCCUACGGGUUGUAAACUUCUUUUGUCAGGGAGCAAUUGAGUCCACGUGUGGUCUUAGCGAGAGUACCUGAAGAAAAAGCAUCGGCUAACUCCGUGCCAGCAGCCGCGGUAAUACGGAGGAUGCGAGCGUUAUCCGGAUUUAUUGGGUUUAAAGGGUGCGUAGGCGGGUUAUCAAGUCAGCGGUAAAAUCGUGGAGCUCAACUCCAUCCAGCCGUUGAAACUGAUGAUCUUGAGUGGGCGAGAAGUAUGCGGAAUGCGUGGUGUAGCGGUGAAAUGCAUAGAUAUCACGCAGAACUCCGAUUGCGAAGGCAGCAUACCGGCGCCCGACUGACGCUGAAGCACGAAAGCGUGGGUAUCGAACAGGAUUAGAUACCCUGGUAGUC